This 253-nucleotide ribosomal RNA is filed under the name uncultured bacterium. RNAcentral's name for it is "partial 16S ribosomal RNA". It matches the Rfam family "Bacterial small subunit ribosomal RNA", at positions 524 to 776 of the family's 1533-position model. The record is from RNAcentral.
UACAGAGGUGGCAAGCGUUGUUCGGAAUUACUGGGCGUAAAGGGCGUGUAGGCGGCCUUCUAAGUGAGGCGUGAAAUCCCCCGGCUUAACCUGGGAACUGCGUCUGAUACUGGAUGGCUUGAGUCCGGGAGAGGGAUGCGGAAUUCCAGGUGUAGCGGUGAAAUGCGUAGAUAUCUGGAGGAACACCGGUGGCGAAGGCGGCAUCCUGGACCGGCACUGACGCUGAGGAGCGAAAGCCAGGGGAGCAAACGGG